RNAcentral lists this ribosomal RNA (641 nucleotides) under uncultured Gammaproteobacteria bacterium. Its description in RNAcentral is "bacterial SSU rRNA". It matches the Rfam family "Bacterial small subunit ribosomal RNA", at positions 30 to 668 of the family's 1533-position model. The record is from RNAcentral. Lineage: Bacteria; Pseudomonadati; Pseudomonadota; Gammaproteobacteria.
UGAACGCUGGCGGAAUGCUUACACAUGCAAGUCGAGCGGCAGCGCGGGGCAACCUGGCGGCGAGCGGCGAACGGGUGAGUAACACAUCGGAACGUACCCUGUUGUGGGGGAUAGCCCGGCGAAAGCCGGAUUAAUACCGCAUAAGACCUGAGGGUGAAAGCGGGGGACCGCAAGGCCUCGCGCGACAGGAGCGGCCGAUGGCGGAUUAGCUAGUUGGUGGGGUAAAGGCUCACCAAGGCGACGAUCCGUAGCUGGUCUGAGAGGAUGAUCAGCCACACUGGAACUGAGACACGGUCCAGACUCCUACGGGAGGCAGCAGUGGGGAAUUUUGGACAAUGGGGGCAACCCUGAUCCAGCCAUUCCGCGUGAGUGAAGAAGGCCUUCGGGUUGUAAAGCUCUUUCGGCAGGAACGAAACGGUGGGCUCUAACAUAGUCUGCUAAUGACGGUACCUGAAGAAGAAGCACCGGCUAACUACGUGCCAGCAGCCGCGGUAAUACGUAGGGUGCGAGCGUUAAUCGGAAUUACUGGGCGUAAAGCGUGCGCAGGCGGUUUCGUAAGACAGAUGUGAAAUCCCCGGGCUUAACCUGGGAAACUGCGUUUGUGACUGCGAGACUGGAGUGUGGCAGAGGGGGGUGGAAUU